This 438-nucleotide ribosomal RNA is filed under the name uncultured bacterium. RNAcentral describes it as "bacterial SSU rRNA". It matches the Rfam family "Bacterial small subunit ribosomal RNA", at positions 29 to 456 of the family's 1533-position model. The record is from RNAcentral.
AGCGAACGUUAGCGGCGCGCCUAACACAUGCAAGUCGCACGAGAAAGGGAGCAAUCCCCGGUACAGUGGCGCACGGGUGAGUAACACGUAGAUGACCUUCCCUGGAGUGGUGGAUAACCUGCCGAAAGGCGGGCUAAUACAGCAUGGGACCACAUGGUUUUGACCGAGUGGUGAAAGCGGGCCUCUGUUCACAAGCUCGCGCUCUGGGAUGGGUCUGCGUCCCAUCAGCUAGUUGGUGAGGUAAUGGCUCACCAAGGCAUCGACGGGUAGCUGGUCUGAGAGGAUGACCAGCCACACUGGAACUGAGACACGGUCCAGACUCCUACGGGAGGCAGCAGUGGGGAAUCUUGCGCAAUGGGCGAAAGCCUGACGCAGCGACGCCGCGUGGGUGAUGAAGGCCUUCGGUUGUAAGCCUGUGGGAGGACGAACCGUACGGGG